RNAcentral lists this ribosomal RNA (301 nucleotides) under uncultured bacterium. RNAcentral's name for it is "partial 16S ribosomal RNA". It matches the Rfam family "Bacterial small subunit ribosomal RNA", at positions 509 to 809 of the family's 1533-position model. The record is from RNAcentral.
CAGCCGCCGCGGUAAUACGAAGGGUGCAAGCGUUAAUCGGAAUUACUGGGCGUAAAGCGUGCGUAGGUGGUGGUUUAAGUCCGUUGUGAAAGCCCUGGGCUCAACCUGGGAAUUGCAGUGGAUACUGGAUCACUAGAGUGUGGUAGAGGAUAGUGGAAUUUCCGGUGUAGCAGUGAAAUGCGUAGAGAUCGGGAGGAACAUCAGUGGCGAAGGCGGCCAUCUGGGACAACACUGACGCUGAGGCACGAAAGCGUGGGGAGCAAACAGGAUUAGAGACCCCCGUAGUCCCUGUCUCUUAUAA